UACGAAGGGGGCAAGCGUUGUUCGGAAUUACUGGGCGUAAAGGGCGCGUAGGCGGUGCGUUAAGUUAGGCGUGAAAGCCCUGGGCUCAACCCGGGAACUGCGCUUGAUACUGGCGCGCUAGAAUCCAGGAGAGGUUGGUGGAAUUCCCAGUGUAGAGGUGAAAUUCGUAGAGAUUGGGAAGAACACCGGUGGCGAAGGCGGCCAACUGGACUGGUAUUGACGCUGAGGCGCGAAAGCGUGGGGAGCAAAC
Molecule: ribosomal RNA, 250 nt
Filed under: uncultured bacterium
Lineage: Bacteria
Description: partial 16S ribosomal RNA
Rfam family: Bacterial small subunit ribosomal RNA
Source: RNAcentral